GUGAGGAAUUUUCCGCAAUGGGCGAAAGCCUGACGGAGCAAUGUCGCGUGAAGGAUGAAGGCCUAUGGGUUGUAAACUUCUUUUCUCAGAAAAGAAUUAUGACGGUAUCUGAGGAAUAAGCAUCGGCUAACUCUGUGCCAGCAGCCGCGGUAAGACAGAGGAUGCAAGCGUUAUCCGGAAUGAUUGGGCGUAAAGCGUCUGUAGGUUGUUUAAAAAGUAUUCUGUCAAAGAUUAGGGCUUAACCCUAGAUAGGCAGAAUAAACUUUUAAGCUAGAGUUUGGUAGAGGCAGAGGGAAUUCCCGGUGGAGCGGUGAAAUGCGUAGAUAUCGGGAGGAACACCAAAGGCGAAGGCACUCUGCUGGGCCAAUACUAACACUGAGAGACGAAAGCGAGGGGAGCAAAUGGGAUUAGAAACCCCGGUAGUCC
This 426-nucleotide ribosomal RNA is filed under the name uncultured bacterium. RNAcentral's name for it is "bacterial SSU rRNA". It matches the Rfam family "Bacterial small subunit ribosomal RNA", at positions 354 to 796 of the family's 1533-position model. The record is from RNAcentral.